AGUGAACGCUGGCGGCGUGCUUAACACAUGCAAGUCGAACGAGAACGGGUUACAGCUUGCUAUAAUUGUCAGCUAAGUGGCGCACGGGUGAGUAAUGUAUAGGUAAUAUGCCUCUUACUAAGGGAUAACAAAUGGAAACGUUUGCUAAUACCUUAUACUCCUUAUUAACAAAAGUUAAUAAGGGAAAGAUUUAUUGGUAAGAGAUUAGCCUGUAUUGUAUCAGUUAGUUGGUGGGGUAAUGGCUUACCAAGACUAUGACACAUAACUGGUUUGAGAGGAUGAUCAGUCACACGGGAACUGAGACACGGUCCAGACUCCUACGGGAGGCAGCAGUGGGGAAUAUUGCACAAUGGACGAAAGUCUGAUGCAGCAACGCCGCGUGGAGGAUGACACAUUUCGGUGCGUAAACUCCUUUUAUAUGAGAAGAUAAUGACGGUAUUAUAUGAGUAAGCACCGGCUAACUCCGUGCCAGCCGCCGCGGUAA
RNAcentral lists this ribosomal RNA (484 nucleotides) under uncultured bacterium. Its description in RNAcentral is "partial 16S ribosomal RNA". It matches the Rfam family "Bacterial small subunit ribosomal RNA", at positions 29 to 523 of the family's 1533-position model. The record is from RNAcentral.